RNAcentral lists this ribosomal RNA (252 nucleotides) under uncultured bacterium. RNAcentral's name for it is "partial 16S ribosomal RNA". It matches the Rfam family "Bacterial small subunit ribosomal RNA", at positions 524 to 776 of the family's 1533-position model. The record is from RNAcentral.
GACAGAGGGUGCAAACGUUGUUCGGAAUUACUGGGCGUAAAGCGCAUGUAGGCGGCCUAGCAGGUCGGAUGUGAAAUCCCUCGGCUCAACCAAGGAAGUGCAUUCGAAACCGCAAGGCUCGACGUCCGAGAGGAUGGUGGAAUUCUCGGUGUAGAGGUGAAAUUCGUAGAUAUCGAGAGGAACACCGGCGGCGAAGGCGGCCAUCUGGACGAGGACUGACGCUGAGAUGCGAAAGCGUGGGGAGCGAACAGG